This 705-nucleotide unclassified non-coding RNA is filed under the name Hevea brasiliensis (rubber tree). The record is from RNAcentral. Lineage: Eukaryota; Viridiplantae; Streptophyta; Magnoliopsida; Malpighiales; Euphorbiaceae.
CUUCACCCUCUCAAUCUCAUUUCAUCUCAUCAUCACCAAGAAAAUGGGCAGCACCACCGCACUCACCGCUCCAUUUCCGGCUACCUCCUUCCUCCGGCGGCAUCCGGCUGGUGGAGUGAGCCUAAGGCCAUUUCCCAACGUGGGUCAGUCUCUGUUCGGGCUGAAGCAGGGCGGCAGCCGUGGCGGACGAGUGACGGCGAUGGCGUACAAGGUGACUCUCAUAACCCCAGAUGGAGAGAAAUCAAUUACAUGUAGUGGUGAUGAUUACAUUUUAGAUGCGGCUGAGGAAAGCGGGAUUGAUCUUCCUUACUCUUGCAGAGCUGGGGCUUGUUCUUCUUGUAUUGGGAAAGUGAAAUCAGGGAAAUUAGAUCAAUCUGAUAAUAGCUUUCUUGAUGAUGAACAGAUGGCUGAAGGUUGGGUUUUAACUUGUGUUGCUAGGCCUGAAUCUGAUCUUGUUAUUGAGACUCACAAGGAGGAAGUGUUUGCUGGUUAAAACAGAGGAACAAGAAGGGGGAAGGAGGAUUAAACUUUUUUUUUUUCUUUUCAAUCUUUGUUGAUGAAAGUAAGCAAAAUGGACACUGUUUUCUUCGCUUGAUGAUGAUGAUAUCUCUCUUUCUAAGUGUUUGUUGAAUGUUGUAUUGUUCAUCACUGGUUUAAGUUGAUUUUCAUAACUUGGGUUUUGUUCAUCUCUUGUUGGGUUGUCCA